UACGUAGGGAGCAAGCGUUGUCCGGAAUCAUUGGGCGUAAAGCGCGCGUAGGCGGCCUCAUAAGUCCGUUGUGAAAGUCAAAGGCUCAACCUUUGAAAGCCGAUGGAUACUGUGAGGCUAGAGUCCGGAAGAGGCGAGUGGAAUUCCUGGUGUAGCGGUGGAAUGCGUAGAUAUCAGGAGGAACACCGGUGGCGAAGGCGGCCCUCUGGACGGAUACUGACGCUGAGACGCGAAAGCGUGGGGAGCAAACAGG
Molecule: ribosomal RNA, 253 nt
Filed under: uncultured bacterium
Lineage: Bacteria
Description: partial 16S ribosomal RNA
Rfam family: Bacterial small subunit ribosomal RNA
Source: RNAcentral